This 454-nucleotide ribosomal RNA is filed under the name uncultured Oscillospiraceae bacterium. Its description in RNAcentral is "bacterial SSU rRNA". It matches the Rfam family "Bacterial small subunit ribosomal RNA", at positions 341 to 792 of the family's 1533-position model. Lineage: Bacteria; Bacillati; Bacillota; Clostridia; Eubacteriales; Oscillospiraceae. The record is from RNAcentral.
ACGGGAGGCAGCAGUGAGGAAUAUUGGUCAAUGGACGGAAGUCUGAACCAGCCAAGUCGCGUGCGGGAUGAAGGCCCUACGGGUCGUAAACCGCUUUUGUACGGGGAUAAAGUCACCCACGUGUGGGUGUUUGUAGGUACCGUAAGAAUAAGGAUCGGCUAACUCCGUGCCAGCAGCCGCGGUAAUACGGAGGAUCCGAGCGUUAUCCGGAUUUACUGGGUGUAAAGGGCGUGUAGGCGGGACAUCAAGUCAGAUGUGAAAGCACGAGGCUCAACUUCGUGUCUGCAUUUGAAACUGACGUUCUUGAGUGUUGGAGAGGCUAACGGAACUCCUAGUGUAGCGGUGAAAUGCGUAGAUAUUAGGAAGAACACCAGUGGCGAAGGCGGUUAGCUGGACAAUAACUGACGCUGAGGCGCGAAAGCGUGGGUAGCAAACAGGAUUAGAUACCCUGGUA